GCACUGCUGAGGAGUCUCAUACGGGGACGAAACGGCCGUCCAGUGC
Non-coding RNA from Schistosoma margrebowiei, 46 nucleotides. The record is from Rfam. Lineage: Eukaryota; Metazoa; Platyhelminthes; Trematoda; Strigeidida; Schistosomatidae.